AGUGAACGCUGGCGGUAGGCCUAACACAUGCAAGUCGAACGGCAGCACAGUAAGAGCUUGCUCUUACGUGUGGCGAGUUGCGGACGGGUGAGGAAUACAUCGGAAUCUACUUUUUCUUGGGCGAUAACGUAGGGAAACUUACUCUACUACCGCAUACGACCUACGGUUGAAAGCAUUGGAUCUUCGCACCUUUCGCGAUUGAAUUAUCCGAUGUCGGAUUAGCUAGUUGGCGGGGUAAAGGCCCACCAAGGCGACGAUCCGUAGCUGGUCUGAGAGGAGGAUCAACAACACUGGAAAUGAGACAAGGUAAAGAAUACUAAGGGAGGAAGCAGUGGGGAAAAUAGGACAAUGGGCGAAAGAAUGAUCCAGCAAUACCGCGUGGGUGAAGAAGGCCUUAGGGUUGUAAAGCCCUUUUGUUGGGAAAGAAAAGCAGAAGGUUAAUACCCCGCUGGUAUGAAGGUAACAAAAGAAUAAGAACCGGCUAACUUAGUG
This 492-nucleotide ribosomal RNA is filed under the name uncultured bacterium. RNAcentral's name for it is "partial 16S ribosomal RNA". It matches the Rfam family "Bacterial small subunit ribosomal RNA", at positions 29 to 507 of the family's 1533-position model. The record is from RNAcentral.